This 241-nucleotide unclassified non-coding RNA is filed under the name Hevea brasiliensis (rubber tree). Lineage: Eukaryota; Viridiplantae; Streptophyta; Magnoliopsida; Malpighiales; Euphorbiaceae. The record is from RNAcentral.
GAUCACCUUGAGCAAGGUACGCCUCCGCAUUGACAUGGCGCGCUAAAUUAGUAUAAAUUAAAAGAAAUUACCAAUUACAGAGCAAUUCAAAACAGGAAAAUAUUUAAAAGAAGAAAGGCAGAAGGCUUUCUUUUUCAAUUUUCCUCGCUGUUUAUAACUUUUCAUGAAGAAAGCCAGAGCGAGAGAGAGAGAAAGGAAGAACGGAGGAGGAAGAGAGAGAAAGAGGAGAAGAAGAAAAAAG